UACGGAGGGUGCAAGCGUUGUUCGGAAUCACUGGGCGUAAAGGGCGCGUAGGCGGCCACCGCAAGUCGACUGUGAAAUCUCCGGGCUUAACCCGGAACGGUCAGCCGAUACUGCGGGGCUAGAGUGCAGAAGGGGCAACUGGAAUUCUCGGUGUAGCGGUGAAAUGCGUAGAUAUCGAGAGGAACACCUGCGGCGAAGGCGGGUUGCUGGGCUGACACUGACGCUGAUGCGCGAAAGCUAGGGGAGCGAACGGG
Molecule: ribosomal RNA, 254 nt
Filed under: uncultured bacterium
Lineage: Bacteria
Description: partial 16S ribosomal RNA
Rfam family: Bacterial small subunit ribosomal RNA
Source: RNAcentral